AGUUAAAAUUUUCAAUCAAUUCUAUUGUUAAAAACCGGCGUGGCUAAUAGAAUAACCCGACAAUACCUCAUUCUGACAUACAAGGACCAGUUUUUAACAGUAGAAAUGAAUGGAAUUUUUAACA
This is a non-coding RNA of Gossypium hirsutum (cotton), 124 nucleotides long. NCBI's taxonomy places the organism in Eukaryota, Viridiplantae, Streptophyta, Magnoliopsida, Malvales, Malvaceae. The record is from Rfam.